AUUGAACGCUGGCGGCAUGCCUUACACAUGCAAGUCGAACGGCAGCGGGGGAGAAGCUUGCUUUUCCUGCCGGCGAGUGGCGAACGGGUGAGUAAUACAUCGGAACGUGCCCUGUAGUGGGGGAUAACUAGUCGAAAGAUUAGCUAAUACCGCAUACGACCUGAGGGUGAAAGUGGGGGACCGCAAGGCCUCAUGCUAUAGGAGCGGCCGAUGUCUGAUUAGCUAGUUGGUGGGGUAAAGGCCUACCAAGGCGACGAUCAGUAGCUGGGCUGGGAGGACGAGCAGCCACACUGGGGCGGAAACACAGCCCAGACUCCUACGGGGGGCAGCGGGGGGGAAUGUUGUGCAAUGGGCGAAAGCCUAUGCCAGCAAUGCCGGGUGUGUGAAGCAGGCCUUCGGGUUGUAAAGCACUGUUGUCCGGAAAGAAAUGGCUCUGGUUAAUACCUGGGGUCGAUGACGGUACCGGAGGAAUAAGGACCGGCUAACUACGUGCCAGCAGCCGCCGUAA
Molecule: ribosomal RNA, 508 nt
Filed under: uncultured bacterium
Lineage: Bacteria
Description: partial 16S ribosomal RNA
Rfam family: Bacterial small subunit ribosomal RNA
Source: RNAcentral